AUUGAACGCUGGCGGCAGGCUUAACACAUGCAAGUCGAGCGGGGGAAGGUAGCUUGCUACCGGACCUAGCGGCGGACGGGUGAGUAAUGCUUAGGAAUCUGCCUAUUAGUGGGGGACAACAUCUCGAAAGGGAUGCUAAUACCGCAUACGUCCUACGGGAGAAAGCAGGGGAUCUUCGGACCUUGCGCUAAUAGAUGAGCCUAAGUCAGAUUAGCUAGUUGGUGGGGUAAAGGCCUACCAAGGCGACGAUCUGUAGCGGGUCUGAGAGGAUGAUCCGCCACACUGGGGCUGAGACACGGCCCAGACUCCUACGGGAGGCAGCAGUGGGGAAUAUUGGACAAUGGGGGGAACCCUGAUCCAGCCAUGCCGCGUGUGUGAAGAAGGCCUUAUGGUUGUAAAGCACUUUAAGCGAGGAGGAGGCUCUUUUGGUUAAUACCCAAGAUGAGUGGACGUUACUCGCAGAAUAAGCACCGGCUAACUCUGUGCCAGCCGCCGCCGUAC
This 501-nucleotide ribosomal RNA is filed under the name uncultured bacterium. RNAcentral describes it as "partial 16S ribosomal RNA". It matches the Rfam family "Bacterial small subunit ribosomal RNA", at positions 30 to 523 of the family's 1533-position model. The record is from RNAcentral.